Molecule: ribosomal RNA, 785 nt
Filed under: uncultured archaeon
Lineage: Archaea
Description: bacterial SSU rRNA
Rfam family: Archaeal small subunit ribosomal RNA
Source: RNAcentral
AGCCAUGCGAGUCAUUGUAGCAUACAAGGCGGACGGCUCAGUAACACGUAGUCAACCUAACUCGUGGACGUGGAUAACCUCGGGAAACUGAGAAUAAACCACGAUAGUUCAUAGUGCCUGGAAUGGCUUAUGGUCCAAACAGUUUACUGCCAUGGGAUGGGACUGCGGCCUAUCAGCUUGUUGGUGAGGUAAUGGCCCACCAAGGCGAUUACAGGUACGGGCUCUGAGAGGAGAAGCCCGGAGAUGGGUACUGAGACACGGACCCAGGCCCUAUGGGGCGCAGCAGGCGAGAAACCUUAGCAAUGUGCGAAAGCACGACUGGGUCAGUCCGAGUGAUUCCUGAUAAAGGAGUCUUUUGCUUGUCCUAAAAGCACAGGUGAAUAAGGGGUGGGCAAGUCUGGUGUCAGCCGCCGCGGUAAUACCAGCACCUCGAGUGGUCAGGACGUUUAUUGGGCCUAAAGCAUCCGUAGCCGGCUCUGCAAGUCUUCGGUUAAAUCCACCUGCUCAACAGAUGGGCUGCUGGAGAUACUACAGAGCUAGGGAGUGGGAGAGGCAGACGGUAUUCAGUGGGUAGGGGUAAAAUCCUCUGAUCCAUUGAGGACCACCGGUGGCGAAGGCGGUCUGCCAGACACGUUCGACGGUGAGGGAUGAAAGCUGGGGGAGCAAACCGGAUUAGAUACCCGGGUAGUCCCAGCUGUAAACGAUGCAAACUCGGUGAUGCAUUGGCUUAUGGCCAAUGCAGUGCCGCAGGGAAGCCGUUAAGUUUGCCGCCUGGGAAGUACGGA